This 73-nucleotide transfer RNA is filed under the name Ictidomys tridecemlineatus (thirteen-lined ground squirrel). RNAcentral describes it as "Spermophilus tridecemlineatus (thirteen-lined ground squirrel) tRNA". It matches the Rfam family "tRNA". From Rfam's summary of the family: Transfer RNA (tRNA) molecules are approximately 80 nucleotides in length. Their secondary structure includes four short double-helical elements and three loops (D, anti-codon, and T loops). The record is from Rfam by way of RNAcentral. Lineage: Eukaryota; Metazoa; Chordata; Mammalia; Rodentia; Sciuridae.
GGGGUUAUAGCUCCGUUGGUAGAGUGCCUGCCUUGCAUGCGCAAGGGCCUGGGUUCAAUCCCCAGCAUUGCCA